Molecule: long non-coding RNA, 523 nt
Organism: Solanum tuberosum (potato)
Lineage: Eukaryota; Viridiplantae; Streptophyta; Magnoliopsida; Solanales; Solanaceae
Exons: 2
Source: RefSeq, a predicted model, not a curated record
UCUUGUGAUAAGCUCAACGCUAUACCAUUUGAGCUGGCUGAUAUACCUAACCUUUGCGAGAUGAAGCUGGAUAACACAAUCAAAGCGGUCAAAUCUGCAAAAGAUAUACUGGAACAUAAGAAAACUCAAAACAUGGUAUUCAAGUUCAGCAUAUUCCCUCCUGAAUCUGAAUCUGAAUCCAAGGCUACACAGUGAAGUUGAAAGGAGAGAAUCGGGACUUCGAUCUGAGGUCAUGUGUAUGAUGUCGCGACAUUUCAUGUUUUCUGUCGUCCAGUCAUCUGAUAAGGUUGUUCCAAUAAAGAAAACCUGUUUGGCUUUUGUGAUUUGUAAUACGCUAAAUAAAUGGAGUAUGUACUCCCUGGAGUUGUUUUUUUUUUCGAGUUUCUGAUCAGUUGGAGUGUUUUCUUUUUUCAAUCGUAAGCAUGUUUGCUUCUUUCACUAUUCUGUUGUAUUUGAUUUGUUUCAGUGUAAAACAUACAGUUGCUUUUAUCUUUCAAUAAAGUGUUGUGUGUUUUAAUAUGAA